This 328-nucleotide ribosomal RNA is filed under the name uncultured bacterium. RNAcentral's name for it is "partial 16S ribosomal RNA". It matches the Rfam family "Bacterial small subunit ribosomal RNA", at positions 355 to 700 of the family's 1533-position model. The record is from RNAcentral.
UGGGGAAUAUUGGACAAUGGGGGCAACCCUGAUCCAGCAAUGCCGCGUGUGUGAAGAAGGUCUUCGGAUUGUAAAGCACUUUCGACGGGGACGAUGAUGACGGUACCCGUAGAAGAAGCCCCGGCUAACUUCGUGCCAGCAGCCGCGGUAAUACGAAGGGGGCUAGCGUUGCUCGGAAUGACUGGGCGUAAAGGGCGUGUAGGCGGUUUACACAGUCAGACGUGAAAUCCCCGGGCUUAACCUGGGAACUGCAUUUGAUACGUGUAGACUAGAGUGUGAGAGAGGGUUGUGGAAUUCCCAGUGUAGAGGUGAAAUUCGUAGAUAUUGG